This 365-nucleotide long non-coding RNA is filed under the name Pan troglodytes (chimpanzee). RNAcentral's name for it is "lincRNA". The record is from RNAcentral. Lineage: Eukaryota; Metazoa; Chordata; Mammalia; Primates; Hominidae.
AGGUGUUACACUCAGAAAGAGAGUGAACAACUAGAAGAUGUGGAAGAAAAUUCCAAGGGCCAAUUUUGAAACAAACCAGGCAGAGAGACCCAGAUGCAGAAUCCUGCAGGCUGAGGGAUGUCAGGAAGAGUUAGCCCACCACUGCUGCGCUGAAACCAGGAUGAUGCAAACUGGGCCUCAGGCCAGUAGAUCAAUAAACCAAACUCCCUGUCACCUCAGACUCUGCACCUGUUAAAGCCCUGUAAAGAGCCGACAUGUAAGGACUUAUACUGACUGGAUACAGAGAAUAUGGAGCAAAUCAAAUGUAUUUAAAUAGUAAAUUAUCAUAUUGUUAUAAAUAAAAAUUUACAUUGCAUUUCCUUUUA